RNAcentral lists this ribosomal RNA (414 nucleotides) under Triticum aestivum (bread wheat). Its description in RNAcentral is "partial small subunit ribosomal RNA". Lineage: Eukaryota; Viridiplantae; Streptophyta; Magnoliopsida; Poales; Poaceae. The record is from RNAcentral.
AUGUCGGUAGGCAAGAAGCCGUCGCCGUCGACGUCGCGGCACGACGCGGAGAAGGCCGCCGAAGAAGUAGAGGGAGGAGACAACAGCGGCGGCGACGUCGCCGUGAUGCAGCGGAAGGAGAGCGGUGGGAAGAAGGCGGCCGAUCAGCGGCGGUACAGCCGGUGCUUCUCGGGGCUGGAGAUCAGCAUCGGUCCGGGCCCGCUCAAGGACGUCGACGCCGGGAAGCUCAAAGGGCAGAUCAGGAAGUGGGCCAGGGCCGUCGUGGGCUACGCGCGCCAGCUCAGCUUCGGCUCGCCGAGGUCCUCCCCUCGCAAGUCCGGCGACGGCGCCACGCCGAAGUCGGCCGCCGUCCGGUCCAAGUCUGGCCUCGGCGGCGCCAGGAGCGACCCUCCCUCGGCCGAGCUGCCACCGUGA